This 433-nucleotide ribosomal RNA is filed under the name uncultured bacterium. Its description in RNAcentral is "partial 16S ribosomal RNA". It matches the Rfam family "Bacterial small subunit ribosomal RNA", at positions 29 to 507 of the family's 1533-position model. The record is from RNAcentral.
AGCGAACGCUGGCGGCAGGCUUAACACAUGCAAGUCGAGCGGACCUUUCGGGGUCAGCGGCGGACGGGUGAGUAACGCGUGGGAACGUGCCUUCCGGUUCGGAAUAACCCUGGGAAACUAGGGCUAAUACCGGAUACGCCCUUAUGGGGAAAGGUUUACUGCCGGAAGAUCGGCCCGCGUCUGAUUAGCUAGUUGGUGGGGUAACGGCCUACCAAGGCGACGAUCAGUAGCUGGUCUGAGAGGAUGAUCAGCCACACUGGGACUGAGACACGGCCCAGACUCCUACGGGAGGCAGCAGUGGGGAAUAUUGGACAAUGGGCGCAAGCCUGAUCCAGCCAUGCCGCGUGAGUGAUGAAGGCCUUAGGGUUGUAAAGCUCUUUUAUCCGGGACGACAAUGACGGUACCGGAGGAAUAAGCCCCGGCUAACUUCGUG